AUACGGAGGGUGCGAGCGUUGUUCGGAAUCACUGGGCGUAAAGGGCGCGCAGGCGGUCUGUCAAGUCAGAUGUGAAAGCCCACGGCUCAACCGUGGACGUGUAUCUGAAACUGGCAGACUCGAGUACCGGAGGGGAAAGUGGAAUUCCCGGUGUAGAGGUGAAAUUCGUAGAUAUCGGGAGGAAUACCGGAGGCGAAGGCGACUUUCUGGACGGAUACUGACGCUGAGGCGCGAAAGCGUGGGGAGCGAACAGGAUUAGAAACCCCAGUAGUCC
This 274-nucleotide ribosomal RNA is filed under the name uncultured bacterium. RNAcentral's name for it is "partial 16S ribosomal RNA". It matches the Rfam family "Bacterial small subunit ribosomal RNA", at positions 523 to 796 of the family's 1533-position model. The record is from RNAcentral.